GGGCCAUAGCUCAGUGGUACAGAACCUGCGUUGCACUCAGGAGGUCCUGGGUUCAAUCCCCAGCAUCUCCA
This is a non-coding RNA of Podarcis lilfordi (Lilford's wall lizard), 71 nucleotides long. The record is from the annotation of a GenBank genome assembly. Lineage: Eukaryota; Metazoa; Chordata; Lepidosauria; Squamata; Lacertidae.